Molecule: ribosomal RNA, 482 nt
Filed under: uncultured bacterium
Lineage: Bacteria
Description: bacterial SSU rRNA
Rfam family: Bacterial small subunit ribosomal RNA
Source: RNAcentral
ACGAACGCUGGCGGCGNGCCUAACACAUGCAAGUCGAACGGGGUUAUACGGGAUGAAGUUUUCGGAUGGAAUUCUGUAUAACCUAGUGGCGGACGGGUGAGUAACACGUGAGCAACCUGCCUAUCAGAGGGGGAUAACGAUUGGAAACGAUCGCUAAUACCGCAUAAUGUAUACUGACCGCAUGAUCGGCAUAUCAAAGAUUUAUUGCGCAAAGAUGGGCUCGCGUCUGAUUAGCUGGUUGGUGAGGUAACGGCUCACCAAGGCGACGAUCAGUAGCCGGACUGAGAGGUUGAACGGCCACAUUGGAACUGAGAUACGGUCCAGACUCCUACGGGAGGCAGCAGUGGGGAAUAUUGGGCAAUGGGCGCAAGCCUGACCCAGCGACGCCGCGUGAGGGAAGAAGGUCUUCGGAUUGUAAACCUUUGUAGACAGGGACGAAACAAAUGACGGUACCUGUAAAGUAAGCCACGGCUAACUACGUG